UGCCAGCAGCCGCGGUAAUACAGAGGGUGCAAACGUUGUUCGGAAUUACUGGGCAUAAAGCGCGCGUAGGCGGUUUGGUAAGUGUGAAGUGAAAUCCCACGGCUCACCCGUGGACGUGCUUUGCAUACUGCCGAACUUGAGGACGGUAGGGGAGAGCGGAACUCCUGGUGGAGCGGUGAAAUGCGUAGAUAUCAGGAGGAACACCGGUGGCGAAGGCGGCUCUCUGGUCCGUUUCUGACGCUGAGGUGCGAAAGCCAGGGUAGCGAACGGGAUUAGAUA
Molecule: ribosomal RNA, 279 nt
Filed under: uncultured bacterium
Lineage: Bacteria
Description: partial 16S ribosomal RNA
Rfam family: Bacterial small subunit ribosomal RNA
Source: RNAcentral